Equus caballus (horse) is the source of this 2483-nucleotide non-coding RNA. The record is from RefSeq and is a predicted model, not a curated record. Lineage: Eukaryota; Metazoa; Chordata; Mammalia; Perissodactyla; Equidae.
UCAGCCUCUUGCUGCUUUAAACCUGCUUCGGGAGCUCACACAUGCACUGACUUGGUUGGCCUGGGCGCCUUUAAUCCUUAGAUCCCAAGAGAACCUAUUCCCGGGCUUCACUCCCUUGACACCCUUUAAACUUCUUCCAGAAGCUUGGCAGAUAUAUUACCAAUGUCCAGACUGGUUCUCCUUGCCAACAAGCCAAACACAGGCCCGUUGCUGUGAACAGAACCAGCUGUCUCUCUUUGCUCUCAAAGAUGUUUAAGCGUCAGGUUUACUAGUGUUAUUAUGGCUGUCCCCAGAUCUUCUUAUUAUAAAGUGUUUAAAAUAUACUAAUAACAUUUAUUUCUAAUUCCUUUUUCAACAGGAAAGGCUCCUUCCUCUCCUCACCAGAGUAAGACACAAAGUUACACAGCUUCGAGAUCACCAGGAACGAAAGGACCACCAGCUAUCUUGCAGCAGAGCCCACCUAUAACUAUUUCUGACUACCUGGUGAGGCUAAUUCCUCCAUCUCUUUUGACAAAGAGUCUGGGUGUUUCAUGACUCUCCCUUCAAGGCACAAUAAGAUGGAAAGAACCCGGAUCCCCAAGUGGCUUCAUGGAGCAGAACCGUCUUGCCAGCCUACCCUACUUAAACUGUUAGAAGAGGGUGCCAACCAAGAGGACUCACAGUUGAGAAUAAACCACAGAUGCGACCCAAGAACAUCACCAGGGGAAAACCUUCAUUCUUGGUGCUAAAGAAUAAAGCUGUCCUUUUAUCAGCCCUAAGGUCAUAUUCAUCCCAUCUGUUCCAAACUGACAAGAAAAAAAAAAUAGCUCAAAUUACCACUUCAGACGCAACCAAAAUUAUAGGCAGAAUGGCUGACUGGGCUUUUCACAGCAACGGUUCUUACCAAUGAAGCACUAAGCACAAACGUCUCAUUAAGACAAUUCUGUUUUCUAACUGAGGGGCUUCGACAAGACGAUCCUAGAGGUCAUUUCCAGAACUGAGUCUGUGAUUUCUAAACACUUCUAAAACAUUGUAUUAGAAUGAAAAAAGAAUGAUAUCUAAAAGAAGUAAGAACAUUCUUUAAAAAUGGAAAACGUCUGUUCUUCAUGGAAAACACACAACCUAGAACACUACACACCCACAUACACACACACACACACACACACAAAUGCACGCACAUGCACACAACUCCUAGCUUAACCCCAAUCACAGCCAAAACCAGCUACAAAUAUUUACAAACUGUUUUCUAACAUUAUUAUUUUUGUUCUGGACACAGGAGUAUUUUACCAGUUUAAGGAAGAGAACCCAGUGAAUGAGAGCUUCCAAUUCUGAGUUUCCAUGAAAACCUGAGUUUGAAGGAACUAGGUCAAAUUGACCCUUCUUUCUUCAAACCAGUAUAAAACCUGAUGUAAUCCCAGAAAUAAUCACAAAAGAGGGAGCACAAAUAUAAACAGUUCUCAAAAGGAAAUAUUCAAGUGUUCUAGACUGGUAUGCACCCAACAACUUAAAAUGAGGACAGCCCGCCUCUCCAAGGCCCCUAAAAUGACCAACCUGCCCCCUCCCGACCACCAAAAUGCUCUCUAACCACCCUGAAGUUAAAAGGAGAUGAAUAGAAAGUUCUAGAGAACAAAAGCAAGUGAGAGAAAUUUAAGACAAAAGUAAAAGAGAAACUUUGAGAACUCACCUAGGACCUAAAUUUAUAAUUGGCUGCCAAAUUAACUCCACGGUCAACGACAGACGUGUCUUGAGCACAAUGGCCCUGGGGACACAGGGUGAAGAAGGCUGACAGGACCUCUGUCCUCACAGAACUGACUAUUACUAUGACAGACAACACGCACUAAAUGAAAGCACACAGGCUAAUUACAGACUGAGAAGCCGGGAUCCAGUGCUGGCACACGGGAAGGGGCAGAGACAAGAGGCCACUGUAAUCAGGGUGGUUAGGGAAGGUCUCUCCCAGGAAAUGACUGCUGAGCUGAGACCCAGAAGAGAAAGGGCCAGCCAAGCAACCAGCUAGGGGAAGAAGGUCCCAGGUUUGUGGCAGACGGCCUGGCCGUGUCAGAAUCAGAAGGUGCCCUGUGGGUGGAGUGUGGGAUGCAAAGGGGAGAAGGGCUGGAACUCUGAGCACCUAAGCCCAAGUCUGCAAGAACAGAGGCCUACAGGGCCCUCCUGGCUUCUCGAAGGAACAUGGCCUCCCACUCAAAAUCCCCCAAUGGUACAUUCCCUCAACUCAGAAAGGGGGUGGGGGCGAGGCAAAAAAAAAAAGUAAAGUUACGUAUCCACUAAAUGGGGGGAUGGUAUGGUGGUAAAGCCACUCCUUGGUGUCACAAGAUUAUCCUCUCUGUUCAGAAAAGAAAACUAGACUCAGAUAAGUUAUGUGGCUUGCACAGAGCUACACAGCUCUUCAGGGGACGAGCUAGGACCCAAAGGAGGAGGGUCUGACCCGACCCAGUUUCUUUCAUUACAUCAUAUGAGUUUUUUGGUUUUAUUUAUUUGUUUUUCUAGUG